Molecule: ribosomal RNA, 253 nt
Filed under: uncultured bacterium
Lineage: Bacteria
Description: partial 16S ribosomal RNA
Rfam family: Bacterial small subunit ribosomal RNA
Source: RNAcentral
UACAGAGGUCCCAAGCGUUGUUCGGAUUCACUGGGCGUAAAGGGUGCGUAGGUGGCCAGGUAAGUUUGGUGUGAAAGCUCGGAGCUUAACUCCGAAAAGUCAUUGAAUACUAUCUGGCUGGAGGGUCGGAGGGGAGACUGGAAUUCUCGGUGUAGCAGUGAAAUGCGUAGAUAUCGAGAGGAACACCAGUGGCGAAGGCAAUCCCCUGGACCUGUACUGACGCUCAUGCACGAAAGCGUGGGGAGCAAACAGG